GACGUAGGGCGCGAGCGUUGUCCGGAUUUAUUGGGCGUAAAGAGCGUGUAGGCGGUCUGGUAGGUCCGUUGUGAAAACUCGAGGCUCAACCUCGAGACGCCGAUGGAAACCCUCAGACUAGAGUCCGGAAGAGGAGAGUGGAAUUCCUGGUGUAGCGGUGAAAUGCGCAGAUAUCAGGAAGAACACCCGUGGCUAAGGCGGCUCUCUAGUACGUGACUGACGCUGAGACGCGAAAGCGUGGGGAGCGAACAGG
Molecule: ribosomal RNA, 253 nt
Filed under: uncultured bacterium
Lineage: Bacteria
Description: partial 16S ribosomal RNA
Rfam family: Bacterial small subunit ribosomal RNA
Source: RNAcentral